Molecule: long non-coding RNA, 344 nt
Organism: Saccostrea cuccullata (small rock oyster)
Lineage: Eukaryota; Metazoa; Mollusca; Bivalvia; Ostreida; Ostreidae
Exons: 3
Source: RefSeq, a predicted model, not a curated record
GUCAUUCAGCACAGGAAUCGAGAUAUUCCCCGUGUAAAUUUCAACACAACCUGGGAUGAAUACAAACGAGGUUUUGGGGAUGUUAAUGGAAAUUAUUGGCUUGGAAAUGAGGUCAUUCAUAAAUUAACCACUACCUUCCAAAACGAUCUGUACCUAAAAAUGAAAAGUACAAAUAACAAGAACUUUGAAGUAAAGUACGACCAGUUCUCCAUCUCUUCUGAGAAUGAUAGCUAUAGGUUGUCUUUAGGCACCAAAAUAGGAAACAUAGAUGACGCCUUUAGAGGUUACAAUGUAGUAAAUCAGACCUUUUCCACAUUUGACCACGACAACAGACACGGAUGUGG